Molecule: long non-coding RNA, 2667 nt
Filed under: Oryzias javanicus (javanese ricefish)
Lineage: Eukaryota; Metazoa; Chordata; Actinopteri; Beloniformes; Adrianichthyidae
Description: lncRNA (ENSOJAG00000000801.1)
Source: RNAcentral
CUUUAAGGCCGCUCUCACAUGAUGACGGUCUGUGGAGAAUCCUGAAGAAGAAGACUCCACACAAAAGAGCGCACUGUCUGCCGCAAAGGUCAGAGUUCACAACAAACGCACAACACUGGUUGGUUCUGCAGAAAAACUCUCUGGUGGUCCAAAAGCAGCAUCCACAGGUGAACUGAUGACGUCACAGAACCGCUCCUCAGGUGUCAAUGUGUGUGUCUAUGUGUGGUUGUGUUUGUUUGAGUGGUUGUGUGUGGUGUGCAUGUGGUCAUGUUGGCUAGGAUAGGCUCCAGCAUCAUCAGACAGAGAUCCCGUCAUUCCUGGUGAGGGGGAGCUGGGGGGGUCCGGGUCAGAUGCUCGUUUUUAACGUUGGUCGGAUCAGCUGAUCUUCAAUCAGUCGACCCCCACCAUAAUUUUCUAGAUGUAAAGCAGAAUUUGCUUUGCGUUUUAGGUGGGGGCUAUGUGUAUGUAUAGAUAUGUGCGGGGGUGGGGGUGGUUUCUAGUAAUUUCUGAGGAAAUUUAUAGCAAACGGAGGUGAGACUUCAAAACCGCUGCUUGGGGGCGGAGCUUAGCCGGAACGACGCCCCCCCGCUCCCGCUCCCUCUCACCUCCCGGUGUGGCGGCGGACGGGGGGAGGCCAGUCGCGGAGUUUCUAUCGAGAGGAGAAGUUUGGACAUGAACGCGUCCCGCGGGCUGACACAGGCUGAUCUCUGAGCCCCUCCCCGGCCGGUGGCACCAUGACGCUCCUCCGCUGCGCCCCGUGGAGCGCCCUGCUCCUCGCGGCUCUGCUGCAGAUCUGCCAAGCAGACUGUGAGCAAAAGUGUGAACCUCAGAAUUUAACAGAGUUGAUAAUAGUAACCACCAGCAUCAGUUUAAACCAUCCAGCCAACUGCACAUUAUCCACCGGUAACCAAACAAAAGAAGGAACACUGACUGAUCUGUUCCCUGGAACCGUCUAUGAAGUCAACUUUAAAUGUUUUAACUGCUGUGGAAAUAUCACAACCAAACCGGAUAAAGUCAGAAACCUCACUGUUACUGAAGUCACCACUGUCUCUAUGACUCUGAGCUGGAUGGAACCAUUGGGAAACAGUUCAUUCUAUGAAGUACAAUGGUCAGAUGGAUCAUCUACUCUAAAAGACAAUGUGACUGAUAAAAACAUGAUUAUAUCUAACCUGACUGCUGGUGUCCAGUAUGGCAUAAAUGUCACAGCUGUGGCUGCAGAUAAGCAAACUAAAGGAGAGAGUGUGUUUACCUCCAACUAUACAAAACCAGAUACAGUCAGUGACGUCACUGUUACUGAAAUCACCACGUCCUCUAUAUCUCUGAACUGGACCGAACCAUCAGGAAACAGCUCCUCUAAUACAGUAGAACAGUCAGAUGGACCAACUACUCUAAAUCCCGUUGUAACUGAUAAGAGCACCACUAUAUCUUACCAGACUACUGGUGUCCAGAACACCACAAGUGUCACAGACAUUCCAGCAGAUAAUCAAACUAAAGAAAAUAGUUUAACUACCAGUUAUACACGUAAGUAAAGAUGGAUAACAGUUAAACUUGCUGAGAUAUGUGUGCAAACAAUAACCUUAAAUUAGUCCUAUGCCUAUUUUGGAAAUAGAAAUUCAGGAUUAAAUUAAACCAAAUGAGCCAUUUUUCAAAAGAAUGACUCAAUAUCUUACAAAAUGUGAAUCACAUAGAAGGGUGGGAACAUUUAAUUAAAAAUGUUUGAAUGUUUUUUAAAACAGUGACACCAAAAAUAAACAUUCAAAUUGAAGAACAAAAUGAAAUGUACCUAAAAAAAAUCGUUUAGGUCAGUGGUCCCCAACCACCGGGCCGCGGACCGGUCCGUGGACUCCUCGCCACCGGACCGCGGGAGAAUUUUUUUUUUUUAUGAGACGGAAAUAUUUUAUUUUGAAAAUCGACCGGAUUCUCUCGAUUAGCUUGAGCGCUAAAAGCAGUUUGGCGGUGUGUAACACGUUUGCAAAUGGAUUAGAUAAGUGGGACAGAACAGACGCAAGAACCGGUGAUUCCCGCACACCGAGCUGGUCUGCAGAGAGAUGUGACUUUCAUGAACGAAUCUAAUCUUUUGAGCGGUCAUAGAAAUGCUGAAAGGAGCUGAUCUAUACAGAUUCUCAUUUCAGGGAAGUUGUGAACACGCGAUUGAUUAAUACAGUGUUUCUCAAAUGGUGGGGCGGCUCUGUGCGAUGGCAAGGGGGGCGCAGGACAACCCGAGGAUCGUGCAAUUUAUGUUAGUUACUAAACAGUCGAUCGGAGGACCGCGUCAGUUGUGAUAUCCACACUCAGAAAGGAGAAUAUUUAACUAAACCUAAAGAAUUGCAAUGGAAAAAUGUUAAACAGAGAUGAAAAGAAACUGAGAGAAAGAAAGACGGAAAGCUGGGCACUGCGCGUGUGUGUUUGGGGGUGGGGCUUGCACAUGCAGAAGCGCAGGACGGAGAGAGAGAGAAACAACAUCAACACAAAACGUAAAGAAAAUUAGAUCAUUAGAAAAGAAGGAAAAAAACUGGAACCAUUCGACUUUUGAUAGAAUGAAGGAAGAGAAUCUGCAGGAAAUAAUUGUCUAUUCUAUAUAUUUAUGGGUCCACAACCAACCUGUGCAGAAUCUUCUCUAAAUCAGAACAGAUCUUUAAGAAACCAGAUUACAUCCUCAAAGCUGAG